RNAcentral lists this transfer RNA (77 nucleotides) under Alphaproteobacteria bacterium. RNAcentral describes it as "tRNA-Arg". It matches the Rfam family "tRNA". Rfam says of the family: Transfer RNA (tRNA) molecules are approximately 80 nucleotides in length. Their secondary structure includes four short double-helical elements and three loops (D, anti-codon, and T loops). Lineage: Bacteria; Pseudomonadati; Pseudomonadota; Alphaproteobacteria. The record is from RNAcentral.
GUCCCCGUAGCUCAGCAGGAUAGAGCGCAGGAUUCCUAAUCCUGAGGUCGUGGGUUCGAAUCCCGCCGGGGACGCCA